UACACGCAUGACACACUGCAUAUCAAUAAGCGGAGGAAAAGAAACUAACAAGGAUUCCCUUAGUAACGGCGAGUGAAGCGGGAAGAGCUCAAAUUUGAAAUCUUCAAGGUUCUACCUUGACGAAUUGUAGUUUAAAGAAGUGUUUUCUGUUAGUGGAGUGGCAAAAGUUCUUUGGAAUAGGACAUCAUAGAGGGUGAGAAUCCCGUAUUUGGUCAUUCCUUCUAGCUUUGUGAUACACUUUCAAAGAGUCGGAUUGUUUGGGAAUGCAGUCCAAAACGGGUGGUAAAUUUCAUCUAAAGCUAAAUAUUGGCGAGAGACCGAUAGCGAACAAGUACCGUGAGGGAAAGAUGAAAAGAACUUUGAAAAGAGAGUUAAACAGUACGUGAAAUUGUCAAAAGGGAAGCGUUUGACACCAGUGUUGUUUUUCCGAAAAUCAAUUACGAAUGUUUUAUUUUUGAGAAGUUAUGACUUCAUCGGCUUGCUUCUCUCUUUAUGAAACUUUCUUAAUGCACUUUUCGGUUAACAAGUCAACAUCAAUUUCUUUUGUUGUAAAAGGGUAAGAGGAAGGUGGCUUACGCUUCGGCGUAAGUGUUUAUAGCCUUUUACCUCUGCAAUCGGAGAGAUUGAGGUCUGCAGCGUAGAUCCUUCGGGGUUAGAUACACUUGUGCUAAGCUAUAGCCUUGUAUAGACAACUUGUUGACUAUGCUCAGUCAUGUAGCUUACUCGCUUGUGCUAUUUUACCUACGCUUAGGAUGUUGACGCAUGAGAUAUACGC
This 775-nucleotide ribosomal RNA is filed under the name uncultured Neocallimastigales. Its description in RNAcentral is "partial large subunit ribosomal RNA". It matches the Rfam family "Eukaryotic large subunit ribosomal RNA", at positions 22 to 647 of the family's 3401-position model. The record is from RNAcentral. Lineage: Eukaryota; Fungi; Neocallimastigomycota; Neocallimastigomycetes; Neocallimastigales.